UAACCGUAUUUUUACAGCAUCCAUCUAAUCUGAGGUGUUGAUCUCUCCAGACCCCCCAGAGCUACAAUACUCCCUUUGGGUGCUUCUGUGAUUGAUGCUCAGUUCAGGUGGACGGCCAUGUUUUGAUAUCAGUAAAGCCUCACCUUUUAUUUCCCCCAUUAUUCUGGCAAGCCAUCUAAGAGUAGUGUCAACUGUUUCUGGCUGAAAACAAGCUGUGUUAAAGUCAACGUCAUCUCUUUGAAGGAGUAUUAGAGGAAAAUUAAAAAAAAAAAAAAAAAAAAAAAGGCAAACAUAAUUUGCUGUCAGCUGCUGCUGCAGUCAAAAACAUAUUUUCCUCCCAUUGGUCUCUGCACUCUCACUCAGCUGCUGAGUCCAAACAUCCUGAAUACAGUGGCAGAGUGACUCACCAGACUGGAGCUGUCCGAGGAGGCUGCCAGCGACGGAAUACAUCACACAUAUCAACACUGCGGCCCACAGCUGGCACCUGAGAAGACGGUGUUUUAGCACUGCACCCUGCUGUUCAGCGCGGGUACUGCAACACCACCAACAUAGGUCUUCAGCACCAUCUGGUGAGCCCUCAGGGAACAGGAGGAGAAGACAACAGUUCAAGUUGUUGCAAGAUGAAACUCAGCACUGGGACAAAAGACAAUCGGUUCAAGCUGUGUCAUGUCUAGGGGAGAAGGAACAGGUGGUGAAGGGAAGAACGGAGGGUGAGAGGAUGGCUAGACGACAGGAAGAUUAGAAAAAAAGGUCGACUUCUCAGACACUUAACAAUUCGGAGCUUUCUGUAGCAGUGUGUGAACUCUGUGACCUCAUCUAGCAGUCAGUGUGUUACAGGGGGAUGAAACAGAGGCCUUGUCUGACCAAUAAAAGCUCCGCGACUGGACAACAAACCCUAACCGUUUGGAGGCAGGGCUACAUCCAACAGGACUACAUUAAAAUAUACUUGUGUAUCAGAAUGGUCCAGUCAAAGCCCAAUUCAAAAUUUAACUGGAAUUCUAAGGCAAGAUAUAAAAAAACUAAUGUUCACAGAUACACUUUUCCAAUAACAUUCAAGUACUUUUAAUGUAAGGUUUCAAACUUUUUCAGCACCACAAGUUUGGACAUAAAAAACCCCACAAAACAUCAAUUUCAAUAAUGCUGUUUAACAUGCAAAAUAUAAGACCACCUUUAUUUCUAAUAUUAUGCAGAUCAAUAAGUUACUGUACCAAAAGGAAUAAUAAAUCUUUAAUAUAGUGAAACAAUCCAAAAAGGUAAUACAAAUGUGAAUUACCUUCCUUCUCAAAUGACACUUAACACAAUUUACAAAGAAAUUUACAAAAACAAACAAAAAAAAAAUCUCUAAAAAAUAUUUUUCCAGGUUUUCUGGCAUUUAGCAAAUAGAAAUAAUUUUGCUGAUUCCAACUGAUGUAAAGCAAGAAGCUCUUUUCUAAUUUAACUUCAGACAGCGAGAAACGAAAUGUGUUUUCAUUGGUGAAUGAAAACAUCUGGUUUCAGCUCUAAAUACUGUAUUCCAAAUUUAGGAUUUUAAUCAGACGUCACAUUGCACUUUGAUUUUCAAACUGCACAGUUUUGUAAUAAACUCUUUAAAGGACUUUAUCCAGGAAUCAAGUAAAUUCCAAACCUUGAAAACACCAACUGAAAUUGUGUAAAUUGAAUGUGAAGAGCAAUUUCUGCAGGAUUUCAUUUAAGUUUUUGUCUGAAAAACGACAGUGAGAC
Molecule: non-coding RNA, 1719 nt
Organism: Poecilia reticulata (guppy)
Lineage: Eukaryota; Metazoa; Chordata; Actinopteri; Cyprinodontiformes; Poeciliidae
Source: RefSeq, a predicted model, not a curated record